GGGGGGGGGGGGGGGGGGGGCGGGGGCGGGGGGGGCGGGCGGGGGGUUGGGGGCUGGUGGCGCCCGGGGGCGUGACGCGUGGGGACCUGCCCUUAGGUUCGGGGUAACUCGCCGAGAGGGGUGCUAAUACCGGAUAAUGUCUUCGGGCCAAAGAUUUAUCGCCUUUGGAUGGGCCCGCGUUGGAUUAGCUAGUUGGUCGGGUAAAAGCCUACCAAGGCGCCGAUCCAUAGCUGGUCUGAGAGGAUGAUCAGCCACACUGGGACUGAGACACGGCCCAGACUCCUACGGGAGGCAGCAGUGGGGAAUAGUGGACAAUGGGCGAAAGCCUGAUCCAGCAAUGCCGCGUGAGUGAUGAAGGCCUUAGGGUUGUAAAGCUCUUUUACCCGGGAUGAUAAUGACAGUACCGGGAGAAUAAGCUCCGGCUAACUCCGUG
RNAcentral lists this ribosomal RNA (433 nucleotides) under uncultured bacterium. RNAcentral's name for it is "partial 16S ribosomal RNA". It matches the Rfam family "Bacterial small subunit ribosomal RNA", at positions 35 to 507 of the family's 1533-position model. The record is from RNAcentral.